RNAcentral lists this ribosomal RNA (433 nucleotides) under uncultured bacterium. Its description in RNAcentral is "partial 16S ribosomal RNA". It matches the Rfam family "Bacterial small subunit ribosomal RNA", at positions 29 to 507 of the family's 1533-position model. The record is from RNAcentral.
AACGAACGCUGGCGGCAUGCCUAACACAUGCAAGUCGAACGAGACCUUCGGGUCUAGUGGCGCACGGGUGCGUAACGCGUGGGAACCUGCCUUUAGGUUCGGAAUAACUCAGAGAAAUUUGAGCUAAUACCGGAUGAUGUCUUCGGACCAAAGAUUUAUCGCCUUUAGAUGGGCCCGCGUUGGAUUAGCUAGUUGGUGGGGUAAAGGCCUACCAAGGCGACGAUCCAUAGCUGGUCUGAGAGGAUGAUCAGCCACACUGGGACUGAGACACGGCCCAGACUCCUACGGGAGGCAGCAGUGGGGAAUAUUGGACAAUGGGCGAAAGCCUGAUCCAGCAAUGCCGCGUGAGUGAUGAAGGCCUUAGGGUUGUAAAGCUCUUUUACCCGAGAAGAUAAUGACAGUAUCGGGAGAAUAAGCUCCGGCUAACUCCGUG